This 253-nucleotide ribosomal RNA is filed under the name uncultured bacterium. Its description in RNAcentral is "partial 16S ribosomal RNA". It matches the Rfam family "Bacterial small subunit ribosomal RNA", at positions 524 to 776 of the family's 1533-position model. The record is from RNAcentral.
GACAGAGGCCUCAAGCGUUAGGCGGAAUCACUGGGCUUAAAGCGUGUGUAGGCGGAUCGUUAAGUGUCUUGUGAAAUCCCACGGCUCACCCGUGGAACUGCUGGGCAUACUGGCGAUCUUGGGCCAACUAGGGGCAACUGGAACAAGCGGUGGAGCGGUGAAAUGCGUAGAUAUCAGGAGGAACACCGGUGGUGUAGACGGCUUUCUGGACCGUAACUGACGCUGAGACACGAAAGCGUGGGUAGCAAACAGG